This 468-nucleotide ribosomal RNA is filed under the name uncultured bacterium. Its description in RNAcentral is "partial 16S ribosomal RNA". It matches the Rfam family "Bacterial small subunit ribosomal RNA", at positions 28 to 507 of the family's 1533-position model. The record is from RNAcentral.
GACGAACGCUGGCGGCGUGCUUAACACAUGCAAGUCGAACGGAAAGGCCCUGCUUUUGUGGGGUGCUCGAGUGGCGAACGGGUGAGUAACACGUGAGUAACCUGCCCUUGACUUUGGGAUAACUUCAGGAAACUGGGGCUAAUACCGGAUAGGAGCUCCUGCUGCAUGGUGGGGGUUGGAAAGUUUCGGCGGUUGGGGAUGGACUCGCGGCUUAUCAGCUUGUUGGUGGGGUAGUGGCUUACCAAGGCUUUGACGGGUAGCCGGCCUGAGAGGGUGACCGGCCACAUUGGGACUGAGGUACGGCCCAGACUCCUACGGGGGGGAGCAGUGGGGAAUAUUGCACAAUGGGCGGAAGCCUGAUGCAGCAACGCCGCGUGCGGGAUGACGGCCUUCGGGUUGUAAACCGCUUUCGCCUGUGACGAAGCGUGAGUGACGGUAAUGGGUAAAGAAGCACCGGCUAACUACGUG